CGGGGAGACCGCGUUUAGAGGAUCAGUGGCGGCGGGCCCGCGCGGUGCCGGCGACUAGCAGCGAGAUGUCCUGGCCCCUUCCAGGUUUGGAGAUGGCCUUGGGAGAGCAACCUCCGGACCUCAGCAGUGUGAGGAUGACAACAGUACCCUGUGGUGCUGUCCCCACUCAGGUUGGCUGCCAUCCCUGCUGAUGGAGAGAGGCUGAAGUCUGUCUGAGAAGAUAGUGCAGGCAGCUACUUAGCUGGUACUAAUUGUAUUUGCAGAGUAGGGGGUUUCUCUCUGUAGCCCCGACUGUCCUGGAACUCACUCUGCAGACCAGGCUGUCCUCAAGCUCAGAGAUCUACCUGCCUCUGCCUCUGAAGUACUGGGAUUAAAGAUGCAGAGGCCUCCCAGAGAAGUGUGAAGGAAUGGGCCUUAACCAGGGUUGAAGAAAGAAAGUGAAGAAGGGGAGAGCCCAAGGAAAGGUGGGGACAGUUGGAACUUUUGUUUACACUGGUCUACUACUCAUGUAUCGUAUGCUAUAAUCUCCAAAUUCCACAUUUAUUGUAGCUGUCUGCAGUGUGUAUGCCCCGGCCGCAUGCUGCUUGGCUAAAAAAGUGUUAAAUAAAACUGUAAGAAACGCUA
Long non-coding RNA from Mus musculus (house mouse), 624 nucleotides. RefSeq annotates it as LIM homeobox 1, opposite strand. NCBI's taxonomy places the organism in Eukaryota, Metazoa, Chordata, Mammalia, Rodentia, Muridae. The transcript has 4 exons. The record is from RefSeq and is marked validated.